CAACUUUCAGCAACGGAUCUCUUGGCUCUCGCAUCGAUGAAGAACGCAGCGAAAUGCGAUAAGUAAUGUGAAUUGCAAAAUUCAGUGAAUCAUCGAAUCUUUGAACGCAUCUUGCGCUCCUUGGUAUUCCGAGGAGCAUGCCUGUUUGAGUGUCAUGA
This 158-nucleotide ribosomal RNA is filed under the name Inocybe boltonii. RNAcentral's name for it is "5.8S ribosomal RNA". It matches the Rfam family "5.8S ribosomal RNA". Rfam says of the family: 5.8S ribosomal RNA (5.8S rRNA) is a component of the large subunit of the eukaryotic ribosome. Lineage: Eukaryota; Fungi; Basidiomycota; Agaricomycetes; Agaricales; Inocybaceae. The record is from RNAcentral.